Molecule: long non-coding RNA, 20546 nt
Organism: Gallus gallus (chicken)
Lineage: Eukaryota; Metazoa; Chordata; Aves; Galliformes; Phasianidae
Exons: 6
Source: RefSeq, a predicted model, not a curated record
UUUAUCCCUUGUCGUACAGCCAUUUGGUAUGUCAAUAGCCAUAUUGGAUUUUCCUGCCAUGCCCAGUCUCCAUUUACAAGGGCUGAGCCACUGGGAGGAUGUUGUCUGCAUGCGGGUUCCCUCUUCCAUCCAACAUGGGUUUGGGCUGUGAGGUAGGGGUAGGGCCCCAGAGGAAGACUUCAACCCACGGAGAGCUGGCAGCUGAGCCUUGUCCAUUGAGUUUGCAAUGAGAAGUGGCUUUUCCCCAGGCUGGUGACCAUCCCACAGCUGGGAUGGCUCAGCCCAAGAGGGCUCUGCUGUGGGGGCUGCGGCAUGGAGCAAUGGAGACCUGGUCUCUGCUCCACCAUCAAUGGGUUUUAUUGUCCUACCAGGUUUUGCUCCAGCACUUAAUUCAGCAGCUCCACUCAUUUUGAUGGGUACGUACAUAUAUACCUUGGCACCUGGCUGCCGGCACAGGCCAAAUGGCGCUGCACGACCCCAGCCAAAAAGCACAGGGCGAGGUAGGGAGGAUGCUGAAAAAUUCCUGCUUUGCUCGGGUGAAGUUCCUAGAAUCUGUGGGGAGGUACAGGGUGAGCGCUGGCACUGUGCAGCCCCUGCCUUGGCCAGGGGCUUGAGAAACUUCUCAGCUUGACUUCGAACCACUCCGUAAAAAUUCAGGACAAACGUUGGAGGUAAACUGCUAAAUCAGGUCUGAAAUCCCUUCCUCCGGAGUCAGAUUCCACUCCCAGAUGCGUACCCGGAACAUCUGGAGAGGGGUUGCUGAGGGCUGGGGGGGAUGUGGCACUGAUACACAGCAAAAUGCUGAGCACAUGGGAUGGGUUUGGUGCCUGCUUGGGAGAAACGUGGUCCAAAAAGAAACCAGCUUGGCGUUUGGUGAUAGCUGGGGCAAAAAGGACGGUAGAGAUACUACUUGUGGUGGGGAAACCUUUUCUGUGGUGCAAGCUGGUUUUGAUGGUUGUGUUCACAUAGCAGUGCUGGGCUUUGGGAUACCCAGGCGCCUUGGGGUCUAGGCUGGUACCCAAAACCAAGGCCAGCUGUAACAGGGCCAGCCUGGCCCCUCUGCUGCAUGCUGUGCCCUGACAGGUGAGAAUCACCUCUCAGAGACUGCCCAGAGCUGUGGGUGUCCCAUCCCUGGAGGUGCCCACGGCCAUGGAUGGGGCCCUGGGCAGCUUGAGCUGAUGGGGGGCACCCAGCCCAUGGUAGGGCUUGAAACUGGAUGAUCGUUAAGGUCCCUUCCAACCUUAACCAUUCUGUCAUUCUAUGAAAUCAUGUGAGAAAAGCAACUCUCUGGGGCUCAAACCCACUUUGAUGAAGGGUGCUCGGAAAUCCCAGGGAUCCUUAUCUCUUGAGAAAAUGGAACUGGUAGUGUUGCCUUGGCUCCACGUGAUGCAAUUUGGAAGGACCUACCGGCAGCUUCGAGACAGCAAGGAGGAGUUCCAGCUAUUGCAUUGCUCUGCAGGGAAGGAGCAGCUGGGCAAAGCAUUUUCUGCAGGUUUCUGCCUUCGAUUGUAAAAGAAAGUGGUUAGUCACUGCAGGUCUGCAAAAAAUUAAAUCUGUCAUAUUUCCUAGUCUGCCUGAAGCUCUAAAGUCACAAAUUAAUUUCACUUUGGCGUGGGUCGAGUUGUUGGCCCCCUGGGGCUCCCUUUGGCCAGGCUACUGAUGGGGACAGUAACCAAAGAUGACAGGGCUGCAUGCUGCAUUGCCAUUUACUUUACAGAGCUCCGCUUCCUUAAAAUUAGGUAGGAUUUAUGGUUUCUUCUUUGACAUGCCUGCCAAUAAGGGAAAGUACCUUUAGCCCUGCUUAACAAACAAUGAAAAUAUAUUGUUUUUUUUUUUUUAGUGAGAAGUUCCACUUUUUUAUGGUGUUUCUGUCCUACGCGUGCACUGAGGGUGGGGAGGGUCAGGCCAGGAAGGGAUGUGAGGAUCAUUCUGGAAAACCCGCAUCCUGCUGACCUGCUCUCUCUGCAUUCGAUGGAAUACUUAUAUUCCAAAGGUGGAUUCCUCACUGUUGAACAAAUAGGAACAAGGCAUAUUCUGAACGACCCUUUCCCAAAGUUUCCUUUCCCAAAGGUUCUCCAUCUUUACUUUGGUGACCUGAAUUUUCAGCUGGUGGCUCCCAUCCCAAAACGAGGGCUUUGUUGCCCAGAGUUUGGGCUGUUGGAUCUCAGCAUCCCACUUUGGAAAUGAACAUUUAUCCAAGCAUGGAACAGUAUUCACAUGCACUUUUUGGAAGCAGAUGGGCCAGUUUGGGGUCUGUUUUGCAGGAGCUGGUGCUGGCUUGUUGGGUGGGAUCAGGGAUGCUGCCAACUCUGGGGCUCUGGUGGACGAUUUUGUUCCCAAGGACAAUGCUGAGGGGUCUCCACGUGCCAUGUGCACUCCGUAUUUGGUGUGAGCAGGGAAAGUCUGCGGGAGGAGCGAGAGGAAUCCCUGGGCUGCAGGUGGGUGGGGGGGGGCUGAUGCCUCUGCUGAGGUUACCUCUUCCAAAGAUAAGAGCUUUGUCACCUUCUGCAGAGCUGGUUGUUGGAAAAUGGAAAAUGGAAGCACUCCUUACCACAUGCUACUGAAAAGUAGCUUUGUUUCUAAGCCUGAAAUACAUCCUGGUCUGGAAUGAUCUGUUUGUCCGUGUGAACCCAUUUUCAUUCCUUUAUUUCUACUUAAUGAGCAAUUUAAUUAAAAAGCAACUGUUCUAUCAAGGCUGGGGACACCUCUUGCUUGCAGCACAGAGUGUGCAUUGGCUCCAGCCCUGCAGCACUGGAGCUGAUGACAUUGCUGCUUCGUGCAUCUGCGCCUCAAGGGUAUUAGAAUGGAGAUGCUGAAGGUAGCCUGGGGACUGUGCUCUUAAGGCACUUCAGUCCUGGAAAAAAUGCUGUGUUUGGUGUUGGUGUGGAUGCUUUGGUAAAUAGAAACCUGCUCCUGGGAGCUGGUUUCUAUUUACUGAUUUGUGUCCGAGACGCGGCACUUUACAGCAGACAGCUGCUGAUGUGCUUUAGGGCAAUGCCUGCUGGCUCAGGCUUGGCAGCCCCUGGCAGGACAGAGCCUGAAGCAGCUGUUGGGCAGUGGCAGUGUCUGGGGAGGGCCAGGGAUGCUGUGGGCACAGCUUGGCUGCCCCAUGUCCCCGCUGUCUCUGAUUUUAGCACGUUAGCUCCUCCUUGCCAGACUUUGCCUGCUCCUUUUGUUGUAACUGUGCUCACGCGGAAACCUUCAAAGGCUCCCUCCUAUCAAUUUUCCCCGCCAUAUGUUCUCAUUAAGGAAUUUAUUGUGCACUUUAUCUUUGGAUUAUUUGCCAUCAAUUAAUAAAACAUGUUGCAAGCUUCAAAUGAACAUUCUCCCCUGCCCGCUUCCCUUUAACGAGGGAAGGAGAAAUAUGAAAAUAAAUCACCAUGACAGAUGGUGUUUUUUAACCUUCCUUUUGCCCAAUCUGGGGGAAAAGAAAUUCUUAGGAUAUUGACAUGGGUUUUUAAUUAUGAGUUACAUCAUUCAAAGAGCUGAUCCGGAGCUCACUGAGCUCACAGCCUGGAAGCUGUUCACGUUGUAACGUAUCGGGAUGCUGACACAGGGGACCGAGGGCUGCGGGGUGAUGGUGUUGGCACAACCAUUGCAAAACCCAUUUGGGGAAGCAAACGGUGCCACUGCUGCAGGGAAUGGCCCCCAAAUGUGUUUGUUGUCACGUUGUGUUGUGCUGGGCGGUGCUCUUGUAGGUGAUGCUAUGCUGUGAUGGUGGCUUUAGAAAGUGGCAGUAUUUGGGGUUAUUUAAUGAGUUCCCAAAGGAGGAGCACCUCCCUGCCGUGCCCCUCUGCAUGGAGAAUGGAACCCCCACAUUAGCCCCUGCCAGUCCUUCCAGCUCCAUUCCCACUUGGGGCAGUAGGAGCUGCUCCUGCCCUCCUCCUGUUUGCAUUUUGUGGCUGCUUCCUGGGCUGCUGGUAGGGAGAGGGGUGGGAGGAACAGCCAACAGCAGCUCCAAUCUCAGCAGCGCCCGCGGAUGCUGCGGGGACAGCCUGUACCCUGCGUAGCGCUGCCGUUGUGCCUACUGGGGAAAACAAACACAAAAAUAAUGCACACAGACGGGUUCCUUAUACAAAUAAAUGUCUGAGGGGAGCGACCUGGCUGCGGGCAACCUGCUGGGAAAGUCCUGCUCCGGUGGGAAUCGCGGCGUUACGCAGCGCCUGGAUGUGUCUGGGCUGUGAUUUAUGCCCCUGAUUGGAUGCGUGCCUGGGCAGUGUGUGUUGACACUCAGUGCUCAGCUCCAGGUAAAGUUUAAACAGGACUUAUCGUGGCUCUGACACCUUGGGAAGGCUUCCCUGCCCUGCCUCGUGCCAUCUCUUCUGUGGGUUUGUGCUGCUGCUGUCCUUGAUGUUAGAAGAGAAGAAAGGUUGUCUUGCAGAAUACAUUACUGAAAGAGCUUUCUCAAACACUCUUCUAAUUUUAAAACAACCCAUCACCAGUGGGUCCUGUGGCUGUUUCUUUGCUCGUUGGGCUUCACCCGAUGCUCCCAAUCUGGGCUCAAUACAGGGAGUGCUGUGAGUGCGGUUUGACCCCAAGUUCCCUGCAGGUCCCUGACUCUGUCUGUCCUGCUGGCCCUACCCCAGCUCCGGGCAGAGCUCCUCUCUCUUUUGACCCUUCUUCCCAGCAAAAAUAACCAUACAGUGUUUGUCAACCAGUUGGGUGUCCUUGGAUGGCACCCAGCGUUGCACACUCGCUCCCAGCUCACUCUAAACAACGUUGAACUCAUUCAGUUUUAUGCUUUGUUUUCUUAUGGGUAACAAUUAAGAACAAAAGCAGCGGAACAUAAUUACAGCACCUUGAAGUGUAGCGUUACUGGGCCAAAGGCUGAAAUGAGGUUACAACGUGACAGCCCUUUAUCUCGGAUCUGAUAGGUGUGUUAUUCAUUGUAUUAAAAGUUUGCCAAGAGAGGCUUCACUGAAAAUUAACCCGUGUUAUCGCAGUGAGUAAUAUCCUGGUUUUAUCAUGCGGAAUAAACAAACAGGGCAGACUUUAUGCUUUUGCUUAAUGAGGUUAACUCUGAGAGCAGAGCGGGGAAGCGGCGUUAGCUCUGAUGCGUGGCCACAGUGAUUGUGGUGAGAUGAAACUGGAACAGAAAGUGCCCCCAGAUUUCUUGCAUAACAGCAGAGCUUGUAUUACUAUUAAUUACGUUAUGCAACUGAGAUAGGAUGGAAGUUGGCUCUAUCUUACAACAGACCAGGGUGCAAAACUCUUUGCAGUCUUCUCUGUGGUUUCCCAGGAAAAUUCCACAUCCGUGUUGUCUCGAUUCUGCUUUUUGCCUUCUUUGCCCUAUGGGGACUGGGCAGUUCUCCAGCUUCAUGCCUCCCAGCCCAAGCAGCACACUUGGUUCAGCCUUUGCCAUUUGCUCCCUUUGCUGCUUUUCCCUCCUCGGUCCCAGCUGUCUGCUCUGCAAAAUCCUGCAAAUUCUGGCAAAAUUCAGGCAGAUUAAGUGAUGUGGAACAUUGGGAGCAGUGAUGGGGAAAAACACCAAAACUGGUACCUGAAGUCAGCUCUGUUACAGCGUGUGGUUCAUCUCACCUGAGCACACACAGUGAGUGCUGGAACGUGGAUGGGCACUCUCCCCAUGGGACUGACAUCAGUUCUGCAGGAGAGCAGUUGAACCCUACAGAAGGUUAUUGUGUUAUUGGCUCUGUUGCUCAUAUCCCAACCUGUGGUGCUGCUGCAGGCAGGGAUGGCUUUGGGAAUCAAUGGGCUUGAUUCAGUUGCUGGGAUUUUGAUUUGGCAGCGCGUGGAGAUGCAGAGCCCAACCCUGGACUUCAACAGCCGGGAGCCUGAAGUUGUUUCAUGUGAACAAAGGGAUUGUCCAGGUCAUUAAUCCCUUGCACCUGUUGCGCUUUGUUCCCAGCUCGCUCUGCCCUGUUGCGUCAGCAGUGGUGAUGCCAUGAGCCAACAGGGCUGGCAGUAGUGGUGGCAUUAACGGUGCCCUCACCCAGCAGGGCACCACACUGGGUGGGUUCAGCUCAGAGCUGGCGUGGGGCAGCCCAUGGUGCCGGGUGGUGCAGAGCAGGGCUCGGGGUGGCUGUGUCAGCAGGGACCCUCAUCCCAGCAUGGGGGGACCCAUCCUGGCCCCAUCUGCACCCUUCCCAAGAACUUUUUCCACCCCAUCCAAAAUUAUUGCACCAAAGAACUUUAAACCCCAAACCCAGCGCCCGUGCCUUCGUGCCAGCGGAUGCAAUAAUACCAGGAGUACAUUAUCCUCUGGGCUAUCAGCAGCUGUAAUACCUCCAGGGAUCUCUCGGGUAGCUUUAAUUAUGCUCGUGCCUUUCUUUCAGCCCUCGUUAUCUCUGAGUUCCUCCAAGCUGGGGGCAGGAGCACGGCACCGAUGUUGCUUCUCUGAAGCACCUUUGUUUUCCCUGCUCAGGUAUUAAGCUGAUGGCACAACAGUCACCGGGUGCUGCUUUUUCUUGCCUGCCCACCUCCCCCAGUGCAGACCUCAGGCACAGGGAGCAAGCAGGGCCAGCAGGAAUGCACAGACAGAGGCAGCUUGUUCCUGCAGGGAGCAGGGAAGGGAGAAGGAGUGAAAAGGAAAGCAGAGGGGGGAGAGGAGGAAGAGCUGGGUGAAAGAGGGAAGAAUCCAUCUGUGCACGGAGGGAUUUAUCUGGGGGUGUUUGUUAAAAGGAUGUAAUGCUUAGAAAAAUAAUAAAGAAUCCUCCCUCCCACACGUGCCCAUAGGAGGUUUUUGUCAGCGCAGUGCCCUGCAUGGGAAGGUGACAUUUGAGAGAACAAUUGGCAGGCUGUUAUGCCAUGCCUGCACUAUGAAUGGGGCUUAAGAAAAGGUGUCCUUGGACUCCCAUCAUCUCCUCCAUCCCCUUGCACGGGCCAGCAGCGUGCAAACAGAACAGUGUGGGAGACGAGAGGGGAGCACACUCCAAGCUCAUUGCCUUGCCGUGCAGCCAGCUCGGCCCACUGCUGCGAGGGGAUGCUGAGGAUGCUGCUGGAGAACGCACAGACAAGGAAGGACAGUGGGGAGGGGGCACCUCGGGGGCUUUCUGCAGCUUUGUCCUUUGGGCUGAGCCAGGUGUGAGCUGUGCUUUGGCCAUGCACCUGCUGCAGAUGUCGGAAUGGCUUUCUUUGCCCGAACACCUGGAUGUGUAGGUCUGGCCAGGAAACCUUCAAGUAGGAGCACUUUCCCUUCUAAGCAGACCCAGGAGAAAAUGCAGUGGGAGAGAAGAUCCACUCUUCUGAGGACAGAGUCCUUGGCCAACGUUGAGUGAAUCCUGCUGCAACAUAGGACAGUGGUCAUCAUUGUCAUUGUUAUACUGGCCUCCAAAACCCAGAGUCCUGCUCUAGAUGGUUCUGCUACUAACGAGGAUGAUGCAAGGAUGGAGAAAAUUGGGUGUUGGAUGGAACUGGUGACCACCAGGGCUUCACUUCUCAUCUCUGCUGACGCGCCCUAAAACCGGGCUCCCCUCCAGUGCGUUUGGAGCAGCAGUGCUGACAACGUUGUGCUGAACCCUCCAUCCACCACUGAGGAAAACACACAGCGGAGGAAAGUCAGGUUCCAGAUUGCUCAGCAGAAAGGAGAAACCAGCUUGGAAGCCCCUCUGGAAGAAGGCCAGGCAGUAAUCUCACGGCGUGUGGGUGAGAAUGGCAGCAUCUCCUUUGGUCUCUGACGGAGCUGCUUGCGCUCUGCAUCCAACCUCCUCCGUUUAUAGCCCUGAUUUCCAACCAGCUAAAUGAAAAUACUUGUGGGCAGCAAAAAUAGCCGGUGCUGAAAACCUGUGUCUACCGAGGGUGGAAAUUGCUGGGAGUUCCUCCGUGUCCACAGCUGAUCAUUAGGAGAGGUGGCAUAAAUCCGGCGGUUGCGCGGUGUGCCGCGGGCGGGCUCCCUGCUGUGACCCAGGGCUGAGCGCCCACCGCAGCCCAUGGGAUCUGAGGAUGCUGCUGAGGAAUUGGCUUUUUGGGGGGAAGGAGGAAAAAGCAGCAUGCAUUUUUCCUUUGCAUCAGCACAAUAUGCAAUGGGGUGGAGUUCGCCAUCAUGAGGGUUACACUCGUUUCUGCUCCCUCUGUGGGAUAGGGGAUGUGGUGCUGGGAUGAGAGUGGAGUUGCGUGGAGCUGCUGGGGUUGCACCCAUCUAUGGUGGUGUGUUCAUACUGCAGAAUUUAUUGCCGUAUGUAUGCAAAUGUGCCAUGCAAACAUAUGCAAAUCCUGAUCCUUUAUCAGCUGGCAAGAUAUGGUUAAGCACUAUAACGUGGAAGCCCAGCAGCCAGCAGAGGAGCGCUGCAGGGCAGUGCCGGGGCUCAGCUGCCAGCAGCACAGGGUGGGAAUGCUGCACGUUGCCCUUGUGUUACAGCAGCAGCAAGAAGUGCUUUGCUUCAUCGUUUAGUACAUGCAGUCAUGCAAUGAGGCGAUGCCACCACUGGUGCUUUGGUUGACUCUCCUUGCAGCUCCAGGUGUGUGGGGGGGUGCACUGGCCAUCAGCUCAUAUUGCUCCUGUACUGACUCAUUUAUCUUUUGGUGCUCAUUUUCCAGCACCACGUGGAAAUGCUUGAGCAGCCACUCCAACCUUUCGGCUGCAAUAACGAGCCUCACAUGGCAUCUGAUUGGCAACAUGUGGUCUAGGUAAUUGCUUUGCUUCAGCUGCUUGUUAGGCCCUGAUCUCCAUCUAAUUUCAAGGUGAAACCAAUGGGAUUUUGCUGAGGUUCCUCUUAUUCAGUGUGGAUCUCACAGCUAAGCAUGUUGCUGGUGGUAGGGAGGGCUCAGAGCUGAACUGACUCUUUCUGGUUCAACCCCAGUGCUGCAGGGAAUGGAGGUGUAACGUUCUGCUACAUGUAGGCUCUGCUGGUGCAUCUCUGGUCUCAGUUGGAAGCAGGUGAGUCAAUGCGCACCUUGAGACUAUGUUUUGUGUCCUUGUUGUAUGCUCCUUGGUUGCAGAUUAGCCAUUUGUAGGUGCAGAUGGCUGAAGCUUUCCAGGUCAGCUUUGUAUUUGGUUUUCCUCUGCCCUAAUUGAGAGCAGAAAUCCAAUUAGACGAUCAUGCUGUCCUCAUUGAAGUCCCUGGCUAGAGAAUCACAUUGUGUGGGAUGGUGGAUGUUGUGCUGGUGAUGGGACCAACCGGCAGCAGUGAGAUUCUGCCCAGCUGUAGAUUAUGAGACACAAUUCUAAAGCCCUUCUAUUGUAACCCAUGUCAGUGUGCUGUGCCUUGCUGUUCCUAUUAGAGACAGCAGAUGUUCAAACAAGGGCUGCAGCACGUGCAGCCUCCUUGCCUGUUAGGUAGGACUCGUGCUGGAAGGAUGGCUGCUGUCUGAAGGGGCUCCUGUUGGUUUGUACAGAUGCCAUGGGUGAGGGGGAGGAGAGACAGAUUUGAGCAGUUCCCCAGCAGCAGCCCCUUUGGAAGUGGUGUUUUCUUGGUUCAGAGACCUCAGGGCCAGUGAUGAGCAACCCUUGCUUAAGGUGCUGAGAUUUGCUGCAUCUCUUUUCUCUUCUUCUGUCUGGCUGUAGCAAAACAGGAAAUGGCACAAAAUUAGCUCGGCAUCUGAGCCUUCCAAAAGCCACAGCAUGGCAAUUGUAGGCACCACUUGUUGCUUUUUUCCUACCCUACAGCUGCCAAGCGGUAGGGCAGCAGUUUGAUUUGGUGUCUCAGCCUGCUUGCUGUGGGAGAAAGCAAGAAGGGGAAAAAAAACAAGGAAAGAGGUUUUAAGCUCAGGGCCUCCCACUGCAUUGUUUUUAUCCUUUUCCCAUCCUGGAAAAAGAAUCAGAAAUAGCUCAAAACCUUUUUUUUUUUUUUUCUUUUCCUGCACAAUUUAAUUAAGGCUGAAAAAAUGAUGGAAACUGCACUGUCCAGCUUUCAAUGCUUUUUCACCUCACUGGGCAGGACAGGCAUGUUAAGUUUGUGAGUGUAACUAUUCUGGUGGAGAUGGGCUCCAGCCACAGCUGCAGGGGGUUGAGGAUGAGGUUCUGGGCACCUCACUGCAAAAAAGGUAUUUGAGGCCCUGGAGUGCAUCAGGACCCCCGAGUCCUUCUCUGUAGCACUGCUCUCAGUGAGUUCCCCCCAGUCUGUACCUGUAUCUGGGAUCGCCCUGACCCAAGUGCAACACGCUGCACUUGGCCUUGUUGAAUCUCAUUAGAUUCUCAUGUGCCCACUUCUUGAGCGUGUCCAGGUCCCUCUGGAUGGCAUUCCUGCCUUUUACUGUAUCAACUGCACCACUCAGCUUAGUGUCAGCAAACUUGCUGAGGGUACACACAAUCCCACUGUCAGUGCCGUUGCUAAAGAUGCUGAAGAGCACUGGUCCCAAGAUGGGCCCCUGGGGGAAUGCUGCUUGUGACCUUGGACCUCCACCUGGACAUAGAGCUGUUGACUAUAACCCUCUUAGUAUGACCGUCCAACCAACUCUUUAUUCAUUCCUUCAGCCUUGCCUUACAGCCAGCAAAAUUCCCUUUGCCCUGACCCAGUGCUUGUUUGUUUUUGGUUGUUCUCCAAACACGCCUUGCUCCCAGAUGCCUCUAUUUGUGGAUGCUUCCUAUCAAAAGCUAACAAUGAAGUUACAUAAAAAUAUAGUAUAAUUUAAAUAUAACCUCAGCAUUUAUUUGGGAGGGUAAGGGGGGGCUGCUGUGAUGGCAUGGGGACCUGAGCCCCUCCAUGGGACCUGCCUCCUCCCAGCCACUGCUGUCAGCUCUCUGUGCUGCUCUGGGCAGCUUGCACCGAGCGGAAGGACCAAAUUCUUCCUCAGCCUUUCAAUUAGCUUCUAAUCCCUUCGCUCCCGUAAAAUCUCAGCUGCUGGCUGCCCCUCUUUGUGUGUCUGCAGCAGCCACAAAAGCCGCCUCCCUGAGCAUCUGUCUGUGUGGCUGAGGCUGAAACCAAUCCCUGCGCCAAUGGCCACACCUCUCUGCACAGAACAUGUAAUUGCAAACUUUUUUUUCCCCUUCUUUCCCCUUUCCUCCCAUUUAACGUACAACAAGCAGACACCCAUCACCAUCGUCAGCUGUGCUCUGAUGCAAGGUUUUUCCACCUGGCCAAGUUGGGUGUUCAAAAGUUAUAAAUAAAUGCAAAAAGAAAAAAAAAAGGGGCAGGGGGAAAGGCUGUUGGUAGGGAUAUUUUUAAACACAUGACACAGAGGAGUGUGACACACUCGGUGUUCUCAGUGGGUGGGUUCAGUGUUACUGCAUGUUGUUCUUGUCGCUGGGCCCAGCAUUACAGGGAGGUGUGUUUGUAGCUGUGCCUGGUGACAGCGUGUGGCACUGCUGCCCGGUCCCAGCAAGGGGUGGGGGCUGUGUGAGCACCGUGAAGAUGCUGAGCAUCUGAAUACAAACGCUUUACUGCCUUGGUGUGCCCCACUUUGCUUGGGAGCAUUCAACCCAAGGUAGCUGGGAUUGGCAUUGCUGUUUGUUGAUGAGCACGGUGAGGUUGCUGAGCAUCUAUAUAUGCGUGCUUUCCUGUCUUGAGUUGUUUCAUGUGGGCACACUUACCCAAGUUAUCUGUGGCUCUGUAUGUCCGUCUGUCCAUGUCUGCUUGUCCAUCUGUGGGGCUGUUGGCUGGGUACCAGGAGGUGGCUCUGGGGAGUGUGGCUCUGGGGACCAUGUGCAGGAGCAAUGCUGAAGGUGGCAGAGGCUGAUGCUGGCCAACGUCUGCCCACGAGCUGUCGGUUUUAUAGCCCUAUAAAAGGCAGCUGACAGCAGAGGUUCCGAUUUCGGAGGCUCCAGCAGAGCUGGGAGGAGCCGUGUUGGUGCUGAGCCUUAGCGUGACGUCGGGAGGCAGAGCUGGGCUGGGAUUCCCAGUGUGCCAGGGGCAGGAGCUCGCUGCUUGCCUGCCUCUCCCUCUUGGGCACUACACGCAGUGCCAGCCCAGGCCCCAGGGCUCCGUGUGCUGCAGCACAGCAUGCGGAGCAAAUAGCGCAGCUCUGUGCUCUGCCUCACAGCUCUCCUCCCUCUGCGUGGCCUCUCUCUUUUGCUUUUGUUUGCUUUCUCUUCCCUGCGCGUUUCUUGCCACGUCCACUCGUGUUUCGUUUUGGUGGGGAUGCGCACACUUCUCUGGAGGUUGGCCAGGAGCUUUGGCUCAGGCUGUGCUCAUGCUCACUGCUUUCUCAUGGGCAGUGCCAGAGGGGGACAGGAGCAUCAGAAUCCCUUACUUGAAGCCUGGAGGUUUCCCACCAGGCUGGGGCAGAGCUGGGGAUGCACCAUCCUCUCCCAGCUGUGUGUGGAACUGUUACUCUCGUGCUCGUGGGAAAUGUGAGCAAUGGGCUCAGGGGUGUUUAAUCUUUGGCAGACUUAGCCUGAGUUAUGAGCUCAGAAACACAGAGAUACCCUCAUUUCUGGAGUAAGGCAAAGGCACACAGGAGAAGCUGUGGACCCAGGCAGAGGAGAACAAACCCUUUGAAGGUGUUGAGCUCCUUGGAAACAUUCACCUUGGAUAGGUGCUCCCAAAGCUGGGAAUUACAGGAAACUUGUCAUGUGGCCUAUCUCCACGUAGAAGAAGGGGGAUCUUAUUGUAGAGCUCAGCACAUGGGAUGUGGCUCCAUCACCCGAUCCCUGCACGUAGCCCAGCUGGGUGCUGUGCGCUGCAAAUGGGCAUGAGAGCAAAAGGCAGAGCCUGGUGCAGGCCCUUCUGCUCAGAACUCCUUGUGGAGCUCCUGCGCCUGGGUCCCCCACCACGACCAAGGGAUCCUGGCUCUUUUUUUAUGGAGACUCCCCACCGAGGUAGACGCUAGUUAAAAGGUUACUGCCCAGCUGUGAAAUAUGUAGACAGGGUAACAGCUAAAUGGCGGGGUGACCUCAUAUCUCAUAUUUAUUGACUAAAUGUGGCUUGAACUAGUCACCACCAGUAAAAUAAACCACAGCCCCGAGUGCUGCAGGAAUAUUCCACGCCAGACAGACUCCUGACUCCUUGUCACACUCUUCCUUUCACUUGAGUUUAGGGAAAAAAAAAAGUUGUGUUUUUUUUUAAUCUUUGUUCAUUUACAACAUAGGACCUGCAGAAACCCUUUCAGUGCAAGCUGACACUUUUCCAAUGAGAAGAGCUGGGGAUCUCUCUGGUUUCCCACUGGAAGAGAGGGAGAGAACCAAGGUUUUUGCUUUUGCCAGCACCCACCUCAGCAUGGAUGUGCGAGGGCUGAUGUGUGAGGCUGUAGUAAGGAGUGCUGGGGACUGGCUGGGUUUUGUGAUCUCUACAUCACACUGCUGUCACAGGGAUGAGAAACUGGUCUGAAAAAUCAGAAGACAGUUCUCAGGUUUUGUCUGCACAGAGACAUUGUGGUAUAAAGGCAAAACGAGAGGAGAACUGAACUCAUUCGGCACUGGUUACGUCUUCCUGAGCAUCUCUGCUUGGGUUCUCCAAUUCUGGUGAACCAUUUCUCAUCGCCUCAGAACAAAAAUCCUGCAGAGUGUCUGCACUGUGCUCAUUAGCUCAUGGUCAUCUGUGGUGCCCCGAGGGGACGGCAGUGCCAUGAUCACAGUGCUCUCAGCUGGAAAAGCCAGAGCGCAUUGCAGGUGUUGCUAUAACGUCCUGUCUGGGAUUAUGGUGCAGGUCAAAAGUUCUGCUGCAGUGUUUCCCUUUGGAUAUUUACAUGUGCAUGGAGGGAUGCUGAGUAUUGGAAAAAAGACAGGCUUGGCACCAGGGUGGGAUGCAGAUGUUAAAUCACCGGCCCACGUCAGCUCAGGCUGCGUGGUAUUCUCAGCUGAGCCAUGGAGUGCUGCAGAUGCGUGGGAUGGCUGUGGGGUAGGGAUUGGUUGCAGGUUCCUAGGGAUGUGCUGAUACAGGGAUGGGGCAAAAGCCCUUCUGGUCAUGGCACUGGGACCUUGUGCUGUGUGCUGAUUGCUCUUGUUGUUAGUUUUCCAAUAUGCAGGUGGCUAAUGAGAGUCAGAAGGGAGAGGACAUUCAUUCUUCUCUAGAAAAUUGGGUCACUGAGACUUAUUUUUUUGGUGGAUGGAAUGUGGGUUUUCUACUAUUGAAUAGCAUUUUGAAAGGGAAAUAUGUGUUAUAAAGCCAUUAUAAAUGUCCUGACAAACAUAGCACUACUGCAUUUAGGGAAGCACUGUUGCAAAUGGUGGAGCUUGUCAAUUGCUAUUUUUAAUCAGAAAAAAAUGCCUCUAUUGGUCGCUUGCUCCUAUUAUUAUUUGAUUUUUAUGUAUUUUUUUAAUUCCCUCCGUCCUUGUGGAGGAGGCUGGUGUGAUCUAUCAGUGGCACUUACUCUGCCUGUGAUGCACAGAGGUUGAAGGCGUUGCUGGGAUGUGUUUGUGCUGUUCAGUUUCAUCCAUGCCUCUUGCAGCCUUGAUUCUUCAGUGCCGUAACACAACACCUUAGGGCUGGGGCAGCCGAACGUCCCCUGGCUUGGGCUGAGGCCAUCGUGCUUCAUGGUUUCCACCUGAGGCCAUAAAUCAUGCUGGAGCUGGAUUAAAACUUCGGUUAGAUCCACUGGCAGUUUUGCUAUUUUCACUGAACCUUGCGAUGAUUUGGACGUGAGCUGAAGAUUUAUGUGUAUUUGCUGAGCCCACGGUUCCAGGUCAGAGCUUGGACUGAGGCACUACCAGGGAAUCACUGCUUCCCUGAACGUCUUUGGUGGCCUCUCUGAAGCGAGACGUUGCUAGGAAAACGCAUCCAGAGCUCAUCUCCCCGCUGAGUCUCCUCUGAGAAGUGCGAGACUCGAUAAAAGGAGCCUGAAAAUGCUGAUACAAACAUUGCUCGGGGAAAUGUGCUCUGCUCUCAUUCUUAACAAAGGCAACAUUGGAGCCCGUUUGUAAUAACGCCAGGAGGAAUGUAUGGGCAUGAGCAGAAAGUUAAAAGUGGAACGGAACAUAGGUUUUAUUUUCCCUUUUCUUUUCUUGUCUUGGAGUGUGCAGUCAGGAGUGCUGGAUGGCUGUGGUGGCAUGGGAAGCCCAACUCCCCGUCCCUGACACCAGAGGCCAACACCACAACCAAUGGGUUGACAUGAUACCAGUGCUUGCAUCGUGGUGAUGUCCCUCAGAAUGUUCUUUCCCAGGGCAACCUCAAUCUUGGGAAAGGUUUCUUGGGUAACGUGGUCCGUCUGUUCCUUCUGGGCUUUGCUGUAUGAGCCCUCAAUGCAAAAUGCAUCACCCUUCAACUGUCCAUCAACCAUCAAACUGUCCAUUUUCCAUCAGGUUCCUUUCUGUAUUUACCCAGAUGUUGCUGUCAGAGCUCAGACCAUGGGUGAGGUCAUGUUUAGUCCAUGGGCAAGAAGACCAGGGCUGCACCCCUGGGGUGCUAUGAUCACAGACACUGCAUCUCCCAUGCAGUGCCCCAUGGCUCGCAGGUACCAACCUGCAUACACACACUCCAGCACCAACUGAUCCCCAGAGCUGCUCUGGAGGAAUCAGAACUAUAACAAUAUGGCAGUAAAAAUUAAUGAAAAGCCAUCAUUUAAAAAAGAAAAAAAAAAAAGAAAACCAUGGAAAAGCAGUUAUUUAUUUAUACCUAGGGAACUAGGAAUAAUACACCUGCUUCGUAGGGAUGGCUGGCAUAAAGCUGGCAUUGCAUAGUGGUACUUAAUAAUUUUUUUACCACACUUUAUAGGCUCUUUCCUGCAAUUAAUGCUAAAUAAAAUCAACAUUUCUCCAACUUGCAUUUCUGGAUCUCAUUAACUCCCUUCAGGCCAUUCACCAUCUCUUUCACUCUAGAUAUCUUUAAUUCCUUUGUGUUUUUCUUCCAAAUGUUUCUUCACUCUUCACUUCUUUAUAGUGUCUGUAUUCUUACCUGUUCACCUCAUUUUCACUCCCAUCACUGACACUCCUGAGCAUCCCACCUGUGAGCAGGGAUCCAGGAACACCAGACAGGACUGGGCACCCCUGGAUGCAGCACCCCAGGUUGGGCUGGAUGCGAUGGAGAGGUGGGAAGACCGUGCAGCACUUUGGGAUAAGGCUGCUCUGAGCUUUUGCAGGGGCUGUUCUAUUACAUCCAGCAGCUAUGUGAAGGGCUGAGUGCACUGCCACAGUAUGUCUGGCAGCAUUGUCCUGCCCAGGACCUGCUUCCUUGCUGUGAGCCUGCUCAUUGCCUCCACACAUCCAUAUCAGAGGUGGCAGCAGUUAGUUAUUAUAUGUCUCUGGAAUCUGACUAAUCUCAACUUCAACAUAGUAUUAUUAAUUUAAUAUUCCCUUGCAUCUAACAUUUUCUUGCCUCCCACAUAGCCUGAUUAAAGGGUUAGAGAUUUGCCUCAAAUAAUAUUAUCUUAUUGGUUUUCAACUCUGUGCUUUAACAGGAAGAUCUGGAAAGGCUGAAAAACGUGGAGAGGAAAAAUGCAGCAAGCUCUUAUCAGAAAACAGGAACCUGUGAUGGUCAGCCCUUCACUGGAGAUGGAUCCCUCAGCACUGGUUUUGGGAAGCAGGACUUGGUGUGCUGUCAGCCCGGCGGAUGAGCAGUGGGUCAUGGCUGAGCAAGAGACAAAGGAAUGGCUGAGACAAAGAUCUGAGCUGGUGACGCAGCAAUGGAAUGAGUUCUAAAUUUUGCAACAAAAAACCAUAUUCCUCUCCUCACUCGCUAAGAAGUCAUCUGACUUGGAAGGAUAUUUCCUAGAGAGCAUGAGAACGUAGCAGAUCAACUCUGCAGAAAGGAAUGGCCUUCUUCCUUCAGUAAGUGGCAAAAAGGAAACGAUUGUUCCUGUUUAACACAGCUCCAAAUCUGCAGCUUAUAAUAUUCCUGUUGAUCUCAGGCUUGUGGUUAUUUAUUUAGCUUAGCAUAUUCAAAUCUGAUUUGUUUGUUUCCCUUUCACUCUCAUGCUUCACUCCUUUACUCUCUCAUUGAGGUCAGCUUUGCAAAACUGUUCUUGUGCCAUCUUCCACCUGGAAUGGUUGGAAAGGUGAUCAGCACUGGUAAUUUUCCACUUUAUGGCAGGCUUUAUAAUAAAUAAUUAAGAAAAAUAAUAAAUAGCAGCAGUAUUAGCUCACUGGCACACAUGAAGUAGCUGUAGUUUAAAGUUUGGUGGUUUUUUUUUCUUUUGAUGAUGCAUCCUUAAGACUGUGUCUGUGUUAUGCUUUUGCUGUAAUUAAAUUAUUGCUUAUAAGAACUUUUGCUUGGUCAAAAAGAGAAAAAAAAACCCACACAAUUAUAAUAAUUCCAUUUCAGUGUUUUCCAUAAGAUCCUGGCCAAGUUGGCCAAUAACUAAGGCAAGGAACUGGGGGAAAAAAAAGGUAUGUAUUGUAUACUCACUUAAAACUUGGCUAGAAAUGACCUUUUAUUGUCUAAUUUUUUUUUUCCAUGCCCAACUUGGCUACUGGAGACAAACUCAUUGCCAAGUUUCUACAGCAUGUUAUUUUCCUAUGUAUGAUGUGUUCAAAAACCCUUUCAAAAGCUUACCUCCAUGCGUCCUACAAGGGUUUUGCAUGGAUGAGGACAGAGGGUUUGGUGAUGUGGACUCUGGUGUUUCAAAGCUAGAUCUGUUUUGCCUGUGUUUUUCCCCCCUUCUGUCCCUUGUGUGGCCCAACAUGGAAUGCUCUACAAAAGGGCUGAGCCAGGAAGUGAGGUGAAGGCAGUGCUGUGCUGGUAAUGUAAACCUUGCUUUGGAGAGGCCCCAGGCAUCAUGUGGGCAUGGUGACAUUGGUUAGGGGCAUGCAGUCCCCACCUGGGUGAUGGCAAUGUGCCCUGUGCUGGGUCUGAGCACUCCAAUGGCUUUAAAGGCAAAAUAUAAGUGAGUGAUGCUGAGUUAAAGCUUCAAGUGGCCUCUUGACGAGCAAAAACCAAAGCCCCCAAACCAGCUCUGGUCAUUUUGUCUCAUCUGUAAUGACCUGUAUGUGACAUAAGUAACACUUUAGUUGUGAUAAAAAUAAGAACUAUUUUUUUUAUGUACAUAUUUGAUUUCAUUUCUGAUCUUUAUGAAGUUCCAUGAUGGUUGUGGGUUUUUUUUUUUGGUGGUGUAGCCCAUGUGUCUGAAUUACUAAAGCCAGAAAGACAGCUGCUUGGAAGCAGUAAUGAAGGUGAGACUUCUGUAGCUUUAAUUUCUCCUAUGUAUUUUUGUCUUCUAUAAGCCAUACAAAGGUAAGAACUUGCAGAGCUCAUGAUCAUGCAACUGCUUCUGGACACAUUUAAUUUUACUAUCCCCUGGCACAAACUGAAAACUUCUAUAGUACAGAGAUGUGAUCUCUGGCUUUUGAACAUACAUGAGAAAAUCAGUUAUGGAAGCAGAAAUAAAAGUGCAGUUUUGAAACGUGGUACAGGUUUCUCUCUGCUUUUUUGUGACAAGUCCUCCUCCAGGCCCACCUGAAAUGACUUGGGAGAAAAGCCUCCAUAACUGAGAGAAGAACCCAGACCAAUGAAACGUGAAAGAUGGUGACUAUGUUCAGAAUGGGUCCCUUUCCAUUUUCAGAUUAUUCUGUUUCCAUAUACUUGUUCUCAUGCUGUACAUGGACUGACUCUUCAUUUACAUGCUGGUAUGGGGUUGCAUAUUUAACUCUGUGCUCAGCUGGGAUUCAUUUGGUAUCUUAAAUGUAGGUCAAAAAAGAGACAACUUGAAAGAAAGGAGAGGGAGAAGAAAGGUCAUAUGUAGUGUGCUGUACACAGAUGGCUCCUUAGUGUUAGGACAUGUGGCAGAAUCCAAGCUCAGCUGACAGUUUGUUUGCACGAUGCAAAGCUCUUUCAAGGACUGCUGAGCCUCUGAAAGUAUCUGAGUGCAUUCUGCAGGAUGUUCACACUCUGACCUUGCAGAAGCCUUCAACCAACUGGAAUUUCUCAUCCACUUUUGCAAACUAGAAGGCUUAGUGCAAUGCUGUGAUGGGAUGGGGAUACAACCAAACAUUCUGCUGCUUGCCAGGUGUCUAAAAUCAGACUCCCCAGCUUGCCAAGGGGCAUUUUGUAGGUCCCGCCUCACCUGGCAUCUCAGCAGGGGCCAUGAAACUGAACAGAGGAUCCCUGUAGAUCAGCCUGUGCCUUUCUCCUGCUGAAAGACUGUGCAGAAAGCAAGGAUGAAGCAACUGCAAGAUUUAUGUUGGAACCAGAUCCCCAUGGAUCGGAACGUGAAUAACACCUCCAUCCCCUCCCAAACCUUCCAGACCUGACCUUUCACAAUCACCAUUUCCUGACCAGUGACUCCAAAGAAAAUAGAGCUGCUAGUUGGUAUUUAAUGGAAAUCUGCACAAAACUUGUCAAAAUACACCACCGUGCCUGUCAGAUGCCUGGGACAAGACCUCUACAGUAGUUUCCAGAAACCCAGGGCAAUUACUUACAUUUUAAAUUAUCUUUAAUUGUCACAUGUGAGUUACAGAAACAUUUCUCCCCACUCUGAGGCAAGACCUCGCUAUUAAGAGUCACCCCCUAAUUGCAGCUCUAAUGGGGAGCCAGGGCAGGUCAGCAUCAGGGUUAGCACAGGGCGAGGCAGGAGCACAGGGAAGUGGAGGUGAUGUAGCACAACAGUUGAGGAGGGGCAGCAUGGAGUGCCAGCUUCGUAGCAAACUAAAUUUGCUAACAACCCCACCAGAUGUUCUAAUCCAAUUUUCCUGCCCAUCCCCUGCCAGCAAAAGUGACAUUUUUUGCUUGUGUUUCUGACUGUGGACUCACAGCAUGGCUUGGGUUGGGGAAGGGACCUUAAGGAUCAUCCAAUUGCCAUGGAGUUUGUCUAGAACAAACUCAGUGAGUUGCUUCUUGGGCUUUUCUUUUCAGUUGCAGGAACUGAGCAUCCUUUUGUCAUCCAAGUGAUUACUCAGGUCUGAGCAUGGCACACACACUCGGUAUGUGUGGGAUUGAACUGAAUCAGACUGAACUCAUGGAUUGACACGGAUGUCACAGAGGGUGCAAGACUGAUGAAAAAUAGAUGAGGUGGUGGUGCAAAUCUGCUCAAGAGCUGAAUGACAACUGUUAGCCUGGCAAUGCUGAAUUCAAGCAGUCCCUGUCAAUAGUGUGAGAGAUGCUGCACCAGAUUUUCUGGGGCUGUCUGCAAAUUGACCUAAUGUUCCUGUUGACACAAAACCUUGGAAGAGCAGCUAAGAGCAGCAUUGCUGAACAUGCCUGAUUUGCUCACAGACUGUGGUCAGAUGUGAGCAGGAAAGCAAAUACUUGCUUAUGCAUCGAGGAGAGGGGAAAAUAGUGAAUUAACUAUGGACACAGAUGCAUGACAUUACCUUCCAGAAGCAGAUGUGCAGCACAGGGAAUGAACCAACACGGGGAGGAGUUUCCUCAGUCAGUGAAUUGGUUUUUGGUUCACGAGAACUCUGGCCGUGCACAUGCAACAUGUUGACUGCAUGGAAAAAUCUCCUUCUCUCUUCUUUCUUUCACACGAAAAAGAGAACCCACAAAUCAGAGGAGUCUCAAACUGUUCUUUGUUAAAGCACCACUUGAACAAUUUGCUUAAUUUUCACCACUUACUGCAUUAACUGCUGCUUUUCUUCCCCUCAGCCCCAUCCUGCUCCCCAGGCAGAGAGCAUUCGGAUUUGUCCCAAGCACAGCUCCAGCCACACACCUGCGGGAUGGAAACAGGCAGAGCAAACAAUGAAGCAAGGCUGUUUAUAAAGCCUUCAACACAUCAGGCAGGGAGAAGAGCCCAAGUUUCCAUGUCAAGGCCAAAAUGGACCAGAAUGACGCGAAACACAUGGAAAAUAUGGAAAAUGUGGAAUAAGUAAUAAAAUUAUAAAUAAAACAAAUACAAUAAAUUGGGAA